RNAcentral lists this ribosomal RNA (301 nucleotides) under uncultured bacterium. Its description in RNAcentral is "partial 16S ribosomal RNA". It matches the Rfam family "Bacterial small subunit ribosomal RNA", at positions 509 to 807 of the family's 1533-position model. The record is from RNAcentral.
CAGCCGCCACGGGAAUACGUAGGGUGCAAGCGUUGUCCGGAAUUAUUGGGCGUAAAGAGCUCGUAGGCGGUUUGUCGCGUCUGCUGUGAAAACCCGAGGCUCAACCUCGGGCCUGCAGUGGGUACGGGCAGACUAGAGUGCGGUAGGGGAGAUUGGAAUUCCUGGUGUAGCGGUGGAAUGCGCAGAUAUCAGGAGGAACACCGAUGGCGAAGGCAGAUCUCUGGGCCGUAACUGACGCUGAGGAGCGAAAGCAUGGGGAGCGAACAGGAUUAGAUACCCCCGUAGUCCCUGUCUCUUAUAC